Spinacia oleracea (spinach) is the source of this 761-nucleotide long non-coding RNA. RefSeq lists it as uncharacterized. The record is from RefSeq and is a predicted model, not a curated record. Lineage: Eukaryota; Viridiplantae; Streptophyta; Magnoliopsida; Caryophyllales; Amaranthaceae. The transcript is spliced from 2 exons.
GUAGAGUACAGGAAGAACCAAACAAAGAAACACCAGAAAACACUAAAAACAAAGGCAAAACAGCCUGCAAAACAAAUAAAAGAAACAAAGAACAACACGUGCAACAGAACUGAAGCAGAAGCACACCCAGCCUGUGCAAAGAAGCGCAACAACCAAGCAGCAGAACCCAGCUUGAGCAAAGGAGCUUCCAGCCUACAAAGACAACAACAAAACCAACAAGCCUUCCCCCCAAAACAGCACCCUGCAUAAUGAAAUACUCUGUAAUUCCAACCUUGGAAGAGGAGGCUUUGCGGUGGUGGCGGUCUGGCUGAUGGUUGUGCAGUGUUGGUGUUGCGGUGUGAUGCCGAUUAUUGUGAUAGAAUUGCUGCAGAUUGAGGAUUCGUAGCUGGAAGCACUGGUGUUUUAGUUUUAGUCAAGAAUUGUAAUGUUUUUUUGGUUCUACUACGAGGAGUUCCCACCGCCUUAGGCGAGUGGACUAAUCUCCCGCGGGAGUUUGCAUGGGUACCUCGAUGGGCAGCAUCCGAUUUUUUCUAUUCUCAAUGCUCGAACCCGAGACCUUGGUUAAGGAGCAAGAGGCCCUUAACCACUCAUGCCAACCUCAAUUGGUAGAAUUGUAAUGUUUUAGUUACACUUUUUUUGUAUUUAGUUAAGAAUAAUUAUGUUUUAGUUUUAGUUAUAUUUCUGAAAUAAUGGUCUUCUUAGUGGAAUUGCUGGACUGAUUUUCUAUGUUUUAGUUAUGAAAUUUUAAGUUUUAGUCACGA